RNAcentral lists this transfer RNA (73 nucleotides) under Solirubrobacter pauli. It matches the Rfam family "tRNA". From Rfam's summary of the family: Transfer RNA (tRNA) molecules are approximately 80 nucleotides in length. Their secondary structure includes four short double-helical elements and three loops (D, anti-codon, and T loops). Further hydrogen bonds mediate the characteristic L-shaped molecular structure. tRNAs have two regions of fundamental functional importance: the anti-codon, which is responsible for specific mRNA codon recognition, and the 3' end, to which the tRNAs corresponding amino acid is attached (by aminoacyl-tRNA synthetases). tRNAs cope with the degeneracy of the genetic code in two manners: having more than one tRNA (with a specific anti-codon) for a particular amino acid; and 'wobble' base-pairing, i.e. permitting non-standard base-pairing at the 3rd anti-codon position. Lineage: Bacteria; Bacillati; Actinomycetota; Thermoleophilia; Solirubrobacterales; Solirubrobacteraceae. RNAcentral also lists the same sequence under 3 other names. The record is from Rfam by way of RNAcentral.
GGCGAGAUAGCUCAGUUGGUAGAGCACACGACUGAAAAUCGUGGUGUCCCCGGUUCGAGCCCGGGUCUCGCCA